Molecule: ribosomal RNA, 253 nt
Filed under: uncultured bacterium
Lineage: Bacteria
Description: partial 16S ribosomal RNA
Rfam family: Bacterial small subunit ribosomal RNA
Source: RNAcentral
UACAGAGGGGGCAAGCGUUGUUCGGAAUUACUGGGCGUAAAGCGUGCGUAGGUGGUUCGUUAAGUCUGAUGUGAAAGCCCUGGGCUCAACCUGGGAAUGGCAUUGGAAACUGGCGACCUAGAGUGCGGUAGAGGGUAGUGGAAUUCCCGGUGUAGCAGUGAAAUGCGUAGAGAUCGGGAGGAACAUCUGUGGCGAAGGCGACUGCCUGGACCAGCACUGACACUGAGGCACGAAAGCGUGGGGAGCAAACAGG